AUUGAACGCUGGCGGCAGGCCUAACACAUGCAAGUCGAGCGGAGCGGCGGACGGGUGAGUAAUGCCUAGGAACCUGCCUGGUAGUGGGGUAAAACGUGCGGAAACGGGCGCUAGUACCGCAUAAUAUCAGAUGAGCCUAGGUCGGAUUAGCUAGUUGGAGGGGUAAAGGCCUACCAAGGCGACGAUCCGUAACUGGUCUGAGAGGAUGAUCAGUCACCCUGGAACUGAGACACGGUCCAGACUCCUACGGGAGGCAGCAGUGGGGAAUAUUGGACAAUGGGCUAAAGCCUGAUCCAGCCAUGCCGCGUGUGUGAAGAAGGUCUUCGGAUUUUAAAGCACUUUAAGUUGGGAGGCGUUACCAACAGAAUAAGCACCGGCUAACUUCGUGCCAGCAGCCGCGGUAAUAC
RNAcentral lists this ribosomal RNA (407 nucleotides) under uncultured bacterium. RNAcentral's name for it is "partial 16S ribosomal RNA". It matches the Rfam family "Bacterial small subunit ribosomal RNA", at positions 30 to 526 of the family's 1533-position model. The record is from RNAcentral.